This 422-nucleotide ribosomal RNA is filed under the name uncultured prokaryote. Its description in RNAcentral is "bacterial SSU rRNA". It matches the Rfam family "Bacterial small subunit ribosomal RNA", at positions 355 to 774 of the family's 1533-position model. The record is from RNAcentral.
UGAGGAAUAUUGGUCAAUGGGCGCAAGCCUGAACCAGCCAUCCCGCGUGAAGGAAGAAGGCGCUAUGCGUCGUAAACUUCUUUUCCAGGGGGAGAAUUUUCCGGUCGUGACCGGAAUUGACGGUACUCUGGGAAUAAGCAGCGGCUAACUCCGUGCCAGCAGCCGCGGUAAUACGGAGGAUGCGAGCGUUAUCAGGAUUUAUUGGGUUGAAAGGGUGCGUAGGCGGAUCAAGAAGUCAGUGGUGAAAUUCUGCAGCUGAACUGUAGACUUGCCAUUGAGACUGUGGGGCUUGAGUAUGGUCAAGGUAGGCGGAAUGUGUAAUGUAGCGGUGAAAUGCUUAGAUAUUACACAGAACACCGAUUGCGAAGGCAGCUUGCUGGGCCAAUACUGACGCUGAUGCACGAAAGCGUGGGGAUCGAACA